This 497-nucleotide ribosomal RNA is filed under the name uncultured bacterium. RNAcentral describes it as "partial 16S ribosomal RNA". It matches the Rfam family "Bacterial small subunit ribosomal RNA", at positions 28 to 507 of the family's 1533-position model. The record is from RNAcentral.
GAUGAACGCUGGCGGCGUGCCUAAUACAUGCAAGUCGAGCGAACAGACGAGGAGCUUGCUCCUCUGACGUUAGCGGCGGACGGGUGAGUAACACGUGGAUAACCUACCUAUAAGACUGGGAUAACUUCGGGAAACCGGAGCUAAUACCGGAUAAUAUAUUGAACCGCAUGGUUCAAUAGUGAAAGACGGUUUUGCUGUCACUUAUAGAUGGAUCCGCGCCGCAUUAGCUAGUUGGUAAGGUAACGGCUUACCAAGGCGACGAUGCGUAGCCGACCUGAGAGGGUGAUCGGCCACACUGGAAUUGAGACACGGUCCAGACUCCUACGGGAGGCAGCAGUAGGGAAUCUUCCGCAAUGGGCGAAAGCCUGACGGAGCAACGCCGCGUGAGUGAUGAAGGUCUUCGGAUCGUAAAACUCUGUUAUUAGGGAAGAACAAAAGUGUAAGUAACUAUGCACGUCUUGACGGUACCUAAUCAGAAAGCCACGGCUAACUACGUG